AACGGACGCUGGCGGCAUGCCUAACACAUGCAAGUCGAACGAGACCUUCGGGUCUAGUGGCGCACGGGUGCGUAACGCGUGGGAACCUGCCCUUAGGUUCGGAAUAACUCUCCGAAAGGGGUGCUAAUACCGGAUAAUGUCUUCGGAUCAAAGAUUUAUCGCCUUUGGAUGGGCCCGCGUUGGAUUAGCUAGUUGGUAGGGUAAAAGCCUACCAAGGCGACGAUCCAUAGCUGGUCUGAGAGGAAGAUCAGCCACACUGGGACUGAGACACGGCCCAGACUCCUACGGGAGGCAGCAGUGGGGAAUAUUGGACAAUGGGCGAAAGCCUGAUCCAGCAAUGCCGCGUGAGUGAUGAAGGCCUUAGGGUUGUAAAGCUCUUUUACCCGGGAUGAUAAUGACAGUACCGGGAGAAUAAGCUCCGGCUAACUCCGUG
RNAcentral lists this ribosomal RNA (433 nucleotides) under uncultured bacterium. RNAcentral describes it as "partial 16S ribosomal RNA". It matches the Rfam family "Bacterial small subunit ribosomal RNA", at positions 29 to 507 of the family's 1533-position model. The record is from RNAcentral.